RNAcentral lists this ribosomal RNA (315 nucleotides) under uncultured eukaryote. RNAcentral's name for it is "partial 18S ribosomal RNA". It matches the Rfam family "Eukaryotic small subunit ribosomal RNA", at positions 1470 to 1796 of the family's 1831-position model. The record is from RNAcentral.
CCCUUAGACGUUCUGGGCCGCACGCGCGCUACACUGACCAGUGCAACAAGCAUCCGUCCUUGGCCGACAGGCCCGGGCAAUCUUUGAACGCUGGUCGUGAUGGGGAUAGACUUUUGCAAUUUUUGGUCUUCAACGAGGAAUUCCUAGUAAACGCAAGUCAUCAACUUGCAUUGAUUACGUCCCUGCCCUUUGUACACACCGCCCGCCGCACCUACCGAUUGAAUGGUCCGGUGAAGCCUCCGGAUUGGCGCGCACCUCGGUGCCGCCGAGAAGUUGGCUAAACCUUACCAUUUAGAGGAAGGUGAANUCGUAACA